AUUUGAAAUCUCUGUAAAUAGUGGCUGCUCUUUCUCCCACUUCCUGCUACAGUUUCGGUGUUUUUUUCUUUCUCUUUCUUUUUCUUUCUUUCUUUCUUUCUUUUCUUUCCUUUCUUUCUUCUUCUUUCUUUUCUUUCUUUCUUUCUUUCUUUCUUUCUUUCUUUCUUUCUUCUUUCUUUUCUUCUUCUUUCUUUCUUUCUUUCUUUUUCUCUUUUUCUAAACCAGACAUUGCAUGAUUUUAAACGAACACAGUCCAUACGCAACAAUAAUAAAGAUGAAAAGUCCCUGCGACUACCAUUGGAGAAGCAUCCUCAGACAGUUCCUGCAUGCUCGUGCUCCCUCAUGCUGCCUUCUCCUGCAUCAGGCUCCUCUGCUCGGCAGGGCGGCGGGCAACCUUGACUGCUCCAGAGGGUCCCUGGGGGCCAAGCUCCCUUCCUGGUUGUGCCAAGUCUUUCUUUUUGAUGGUGCCAGCUUGUGGAGAAGAUGGAGCCAGGCCCUUCCUGAAUGCCCACAGAAGAGGAAAACAGACAAAAGAGUUACACCUCCUUCAGAGCCAGCGCUGGCGUGACUCACCCUGGCGGGCACUGCUGUGCAGUCAUCUGCCCGAGCUGUCGCCCUGCUGCGAAAAAGCUGCAGAAAGAGGAGACUGGGAGCAAGCUUAACCUUAUUUUGGAUUGCUCGCUGCCGUCUAGGAGCAGUGAGAAUUAGGAAUCAAUUUCCAUUUACCCACUUCAAAGCGAAUUGUACUGUCUGCCCAAGGAAGCGUGGGGCGCAGCUGAGGAAGAUGCUGCUUUUGUGCUGGAAAUGUUACAAGGUUCAAAGUGCAUUUAGGUGCAACAUGUGUAUGGAUGAGUCAGGAGAUCCUUGCUUCAAAUGUGAGCUCUUCAAAGCGGCGCCUUCCUUUUCUGGUGCGUCUUGCACAGACCUCUCCUUUAAAGACCACAAAGCUGUAACGAAAUGCUGAACGGCUCUAAUGUGUGAACUGAGGCUGCCAUCCACUGCAAAGCAGGACUCCCCCAGGGUUUCCUGCUGCCCCAGGCAGAUAAAAUGUGGCUGCCCAUCUUUAUUGUUCCCAUUGGAGGUGCUGCAUGUGGCCGUCCACCCUGGAGGUCUGUUGCUUCCACCAGCCCUGCCCCAGGGCUGCCUGCAGGGGCAGAAAUUUGGUGCUCAUUUAAAAGAGAUAAAAAACAAUUAGAUUGCAGAUAAAACAAGUUAUCUCUGCUUGGAAGGCUUGUCAGUCCAUUGCUUUCUCUGUGGUUAGAGAAGGUGUCGUGCCAAGCUCUCUGGUCCAUGCUAGUUGCUCCAUCACUGUUUGCACCAGGCGUGGUCAGUGCCUGAACGGGAAGAUCUGCCCCCGCACCCGAGGUCUGCACCUGAGUCUGCUCCACAACACACAGGCUUGGAGCCUGGCCUGGAGCCCUCAGACAAGGCAUUUGUAAUUAGUUCUGGUAAUUAACCCAGCACCCCUACACCCCAUGCCACACCACCCUCCUCCCGGCUCAUCAGAAUGGCACUAUCUCUUGGAGCAUUACUUCACAAAACACAGCCCUGUCCGCGGCUUAAACCCUGGCCUCUUUAAUUAACUGACAACUUUAAUCCAUGUGUUACACUCUGCUUAUCUGGAAACUGACUUUUACUCCUGAUAAGCCGUCAUCUAGUUGCUCUCCAAUGUGGCCCAUGCCCUGCUCCACCCUGGCGGUUACCUGCUCCCGCAGCGAUAAUCCCCGGCCUUGAAAUGCUGUGCUAGAUGCAGCAGGGACAGCGAGGGAGUCCUUGGUCCUGCUGGUAUCAAUAUGGAAGAAACCAAUGUGACUUUGGCUAGUGUAUUCUGGGUUUAUUUGCCUUCUGGUUUUCCACUUCUAAGGAGACAUUCAGAGUCCUCUACCACCGGGAGAGUGAC
Long non-coding RNA from Cygnus olor (mute swan), 1900 nucleotides. RefSeq lists it as uncharacterized. The record is from RefSeq and is a predicted model, not a curated record. Lineage: Eukaryota; Metazoa; Chordata; Aves; Anseriformes; Anatidae. The transcript is spliced from 3 exons.